UGGGGAAUAUUGGACAAUGGGCGCAAGCCUGAUCCAGCCAUGCCGCGUGAGUGAUGAAGGCCCUAGGGUUGUAAAGCUCUUUCACCGGUGAAGAUAAUGACGGUAACCGGAGAAGAAGCCCCGGCUAACUUCGUGCCAGCAGCCGCGGUAAUACGAAGGGGGCUAGCGUUGUUCGGAUUUACUGGGCGUAAAGCGCACGUAGGCGGACUUUUAAGUCAGGGGUGAAAUCCCGGGGCUCAACCCCGGAACUGCCUUUGAUACUGGAAGUCUUGAGUAUGGUAGAGGUGAGUGGAAUUCCGAGUGUAGAGGUGAAAUUCGUAGAUAUUCGGAGGAACACCAGUGGCGAAGGCGGCUCACUGGACCAGUACUGACGCUGAGGUGCGAAAGCGUGGGGAGCAAACAGG
RNAcentral lists this ribosomal RNA (404 nucleotides) under Actinomycetes bacterium. Its description in RNAcentral is "Actinobacteria bacterium partial 16S ribosomal RNA". It matches the Rfam family "Bacterial small subunit ribosomal RNA", at positions 355 to 776 of the family's 1533-position model. Lineage: Bacteria; Bacillati; Actinomycetota; Actinomycetes. The record is from RNAcentral.